UAGCGGCAGGCUUCUACAUGCAAGUCGAGGGGCAGCAUAAAUUACUUGUAAUUUGAUGGCGACCGGCGAACGGGUGCGUAACGCGUAUGCAACUUACCUUUUACUAGAGAAUAGCCAAGAGAAAUUUUGAUUAAUGCUCUAUGUUCUUGUUUACUCGCAUGGGUAAAUAAGCAAAGCUCCGGCGGUAAAAGAUAGGCAUGCGUCCUAUUAGCUUGUAGGUGAGGUAAUGGCUCACCUAAGCUCCGAUAGGUAGGGGUCCUGAGAGGGAGAUCCCCCACACUGGUACUGAGACACGGACCAGACUUCUACGGAAGGCAGCAGUAAGGAAUAUUGGACAAUGGAGGCAACUCUGAUCCAGCCAUGCCGCGUGAAGGAAGACGGCCUUAUGGGUUGUAAACUUCUUUUAUACAGGAAGAAACCUUUCCACGUGUGGAAAGCUGACGGUACUGUAAGAAUAAGGAUCGGCUAACUCCGUGCCAGCAGCCGCGGUAAUACGGAGGAUCCAAGCGUUAUCCGGAAUUAUUGGGUUUAAAGGGUCCGCAGGCUGUUUGUUAAGUCAGAGGUGAAAUCCUACCGCUCAACGGUAGAACUGCCUUUGAUACUGGCAAACUUGAGUUAUUGUGAAGUAGUUAGAAUGUGUAGUGUAGCGGUGAAAUGCAUAGAUAUUACACAGAAUACCGAUUGCGAAAGCAGAUUACUAACAAUAUACUGACGCUGAGGGACGAAAGCGUGGGUAGCGAACAGGAUUAGAUACCCUGGUAGUCCACGCCGUAAACGAUGGUCACUAGCUGUUCGAUGUACAUUGUACGUUGAGUGCUAAGCGAAAGUGAUAAGUGACCCACCUGGGGAGUACGCUCGC
This 859-nucleotide ribosomal RNA is filed under the name uncultured marine bacterium. RNAcentral describes it as "bacterial SSU rRNA". It matches the Rfam family "Bacterial small subunit ribosomal RNA", at positions 37 to 889 of the family's 1533-position model. The record is from RNAcentral.